UGGGGAAUUUUGCACAAUGGGCGCAAGCCUGAUGCAGCGACGCCGCGUGAGGGAUGAAGGCCUUCGGGUUGUAAACCUUUUUCGCUCAUGGUCAAGCCGCAGCUUUGGGUUGUGGUGAGGGUAGUGGGUAAAGAAGCGCCGGCUAACUACGUGCCAGCAGCCGCGGUAAUACGUAUGGGGCGAGCGUUGUCCGGAAUUAUUGGGCGUAAAGGGUACGUAGGUGGUUUUUUAAGUCAGGUGUCAAAGCGUGGAGCUUAACUCCAUUAAGCACUUGAAACUGAAAGACUUGAGUGAAGGAGAGGAAAGUGGAAUUCCUAGUGUAGCGGUGAAAUGCGUAGAUAUUAGGAGGAAUACCGGUGGCGAAGGCGACUUUCUGGACUUUUACUGACGCUCAGGUACGAAAGCGUGGGGAGCAAACAGG
This 421-nucleotide ribosomal RNA is filed under the name Verrucomicrobiota bacterium. RNAcentral's name for it is "Verrucomicrobia bacterium partial 16S ribosomal RNA". It matches the Rfam family "Bacterial small subunit ribosomal RNA", at positions 355 to 776 of the family's 1533-position model. Lineage: Bacteria; Pseudomonadati; Verrucomicrobiota. The record is from RNAcentral.